RNAcentral lists this ribosomal RNA (426 nucleotides) under uncultured bacterium. RNAcentral's name for it is "bacterial SSU rRNA". It matches the Rfam family "Bacterial small subunit ribosomal RNA", at positions 354 to 796 of the family's 1533-position model. The record is from RNAcentral.
GUGAGGAAUUUUCCGCAAUGGGCGAAAGCCUGACGGAGCAAUGCCGCGUGAAGGAUGAAGGCCUAUGGGUUGUAAACUUCUUUUCUCAGAAAAGAAUUAUGACGGUAUCUGAGGAAUAAGCAUCGGCUAACUCUGUGCCAGCAGCCGCGGUAAGACAGAGGAUGCAAGCGUUAUCCGGAAUGAUUGGGCGUAAAGCGUCUGUAGGUUGUUUAAAAAGUAUUCUGUCAAAGAUUAGGGCUUAACCCUAGAUAGGCAGAAUAAACUUUUAAGCUAGAGUUUGGUAGAGGCAGAGGGAAUGCCCGGUGGAGCGGUGAAAUGCGUAGAUAUCGGGAGGAACACCAAAGGCGAAGGCACUCUGCUGGGCCAAUACUAACACUGAGAGACGAAAGCGAGGGGAGCAAAUGGGAUUAGAUACCCGAGUAGUCC